GGUGACAGUUUGAUGCCUUGAGAUACAAGAGGAGGUUAAGAGAUGCAUAUCACUUCUAGAAAUGAACAACAGCUGCAUCCAGGCUUCUCCCUGAAAAUGGGUGACUUCUCCAGACACGGAGGACAUGAGCCAUAGACCCAAGAGAUUUUCACACAAGUGAUCACACCCUUGACAAGCUGGCUGAAGUUCAAUCCUAAAAGGCCAAACAGUUUGUCUGCAAUAGACAGAGAAGAUAAGACUUCCUGACAGAAGUCUCUUCAUUUAAUUGUAUAAUCCUCCACACUGAUCAAGGAAGAAAACUUAGGGUCAUUGCUCAGUGAAUUGCCUUACAAUGCACGACAAUUACAUUGGAAGCAAAACAAAGG
Gallus gallus (chicken) is the source of this 365-nucleotide long non-coding RNA. RefSeq lists it as uncharacterized. The transcript has 3 exons. The record is from RefSeq and is a predicted model, not a curated record. NCBI's taxonomy places the organism in Eukaryota, Metazoa, Chordata, Aves, Galliformes, Phasianidae.